UUAAUGCUAAAAUUAUGGGUGUUUUCAACUGGUUGCAUCAUUGCCAAGGUAAGCUAUUAUGCUAUGAAGACGACCACACUUGUUCACCAACGAUUGGGCAUUUGUGUUGUUCCAAUAUUGUAACAUCAGUCGAUAAAGAAAUGAAGUAGUAUUGAUCCGUGGAAGUGCUGGAGACUCAGUCUGUUGCCAGUCAUCUAUAAACAAGGGGAUAUAGCUAUAUCAACAAAAUUGGAAAAACAAAAUAAUGAUAUUCGACUAUCCAUGCUUAUAUCUGAACCUCUUGCUAACCUAAAAUGGUAAUGCCCUGUCAGCUAAAACGAGAAUGGCCAAAGAGCGAAAUGACAAGUGCAUCUUGUAGGGUCUAUUUUUAAGGACUGAGUUUUGUAAUGUGCAAUAUCUAUGCCUCAGGUAGAGAUAUGACAAAGCUAUCAUUAGCCUGAAGUGGCUUCCGCGUGCCACAGAGCUGAAACGGGCUUAUAUAAAGGCGGUUGUCAUUUCGACCACACUGCCGUGACUGGGAGUCGCCGAAGCACUUGGCAAGCCUUUAGAAAGUCAACAGGAAUCAAUUUCUUAAGAAAAACAUGCGGAACGGAUAACUAACUGACCAAGAAGUGAAGAAAGGACCGUUCUUUAAAUGCAAUCUUCAAAAGCCUGGAAAAGUGAUUCUAGUUACCAUUACAACAGGAGCUUCAGAACAAGAAAUAUUGGUCUUCUCCGUUUCCUUACCAGAGAAAUGAAUUGAAAACACUACACCAGAAAAUUCUGAGAGCUCAAGGUCUUUACUGCUUUCAGUAAAUGGCUUGACAAGCAAACUCCUCUGGGAACAUAAGUUAGUCAUCGAAUAUAUCUUAUCAAAGCCAAAAAUAUCAAAACGGAAAAACAACGGAGGAAUAGGCUUCUGAGAGUUGCACAGGUCAGCACAUUUUAGAUGUCUUUGGUUAUUUAUUAUGAUUAUCAUUUUUCGUCGCAAUAUGGAGAGACGAAUACUCAACAGAUUCAGCUGAACAAUUAAUUUAAUUCAGUUUCAACUAAACGUAGAUUUUGAAAUGAAGAGUUCAGUGUUCAACAAUAGUUAAUAGAGGAGAAUGGUUAUGAAACUCGACCGUGCACAAAACGCAAUAGUUGUUUACUACUGACCGAGGACCUAACCAAUAGAGACGUUUGGGUUACGUAACUAAAGCAUAGUGUACGAACGGAAGACAAAAGAUUAUGCACGGUCGUGGACCUUCCAACAUAAAUCUUGGCAUUUUCGUUUGCUUCUUUGAUGUUUGCCAGGCUUCAUAACCAUUCCCCUCUGUUAACUGUGGUUCCACGCAUGCAAGACAACUUUAUUCAGAACUGAUAGCACAGCAAUGACAUCGCGUGCCAAAGCUGCAGUAUCGCAGCCAACAAGAGGUCACUGAUGACGCCUUCAGUUAAAGAUGAAUAAAUAAUUUUAAAGGAACCUCUUCCU
Orbicella faveolata is the source of this 1453-nucleotide long non-coding RNA. The record is from RefSeq and is a predicted model, not a curated record. Lineage: Eukaryota; Metazoa; Cnidaria; Anthozoa; Scleractinia; Merulinidae.